RNAcentral lists this ribosomal RNA (435 nucleotides) under uncultured bacterium. Its description in RNAcentral is "partial 16S ribosomal RNA". It matches the Rfam family "Bacterial small subunit ribosomal RNA", at positions 28 to 507 of the family's 1533-position model. The record is from RNAcentral.
GAUGAACGCUGGCGGUAUGCUUAACACAUGCAAGUCGAACGGACUCUUCGGAGUUAGUGGCGGACGGGUGAGUAACGCGUGAGAAUCUGGCUUUGGGUUCGGGACAACCACUGGAAACGGUGGCUAAUACCGGAUGUGCCGAGAGGUAAAAGAGAAAUUGCCUGAAGAUGAGCUCGCGUCUGAUUAGCUAGUUGGUGAGGUAAAGGCUCACCAAGGCAGCGAUCAGUAGCUGGUCUGAGAGGAUGACCAGCCACACUGGGACUGAGACACGGCCCAGACUCCUACGGGAGGCAGCAGUGGGGAAUUUUCCGCAAUGGGCGAAAGCCUGACGGAGCAAUACCGCGUGAGGGAAGAAGGCUCUUGGGUUGUAAACCUCUUUUCUUAGGGAAGAACAAAAUGACGGUACCUAAAGAAUCAGCAUCGGCUAACUCCGUG